AGUUAUUGUAAUACUACCACAAAAGUUGAAACAAAAUGGAGAAAGCAACAUUCCUUAAGAUUUUCUUGAUCUCUUUUUUGCUUAUUUUGUUAGGACAAUCAAGUAAUGCCGUGUUCGCAUGCUCUAAGGAUGCCGAUUGCCCAAUGAAAUGCAUAGACGCUGAUGUCAAAUGUGAUUUGACUACGCACAAGUGCUUCUGUCCAAACCCUCCACAAGUAAAUAAUAAUGGAGCAAAAAGAGUUCACAAGAAGGUCCGGAACUGACUUAUGUUUGUUAUUAUUAUGCAAAUUGAAUUAUGAUUUAUGUUUUUUUUCCCUUUUUCAUAAGUAAUGAAGUUCAAUAAAGAUCUCUUAUAUUCAAAA
Nicotiana tabacum (common tobacco) is the source of this 362-nucleotide non-coding RNA. Lineage: Eukaryota; Viridiplantae; Streptophyta; Magnoliopsida; Solanales; Solanaceae. The record is from RefSeq and is a predicted model, not a curated record.